RNAcentral lists this ribosomal RNA (412 nucleotides) under uncultured beta proteobacterium. RNAcentral describes it as "bacterial SSU rRNA". It matches the Rfam family "Bacterial small subunit ribosomal RNA", at positions 9 to 429 of the family's 1533-position model. The record is from RNAcentral. Lineage: Bacteria; Pseudomonadati; Pseudomonadota; Betaproteobacteria.
GAGUUUGAUCUUGGCUCAGAUUGAACGCUGGCGGCAUGCCUUACACAUGCAAGUCGAACGACGCUAGGGGCAACUCUAGCGAGUGGCGAACGGGUGAGUAAUACAUCGGAACGUGUCCUGUCGUGGGGGAUAACCAGUCGAAAGACUGGCUAAUACCGCAUGACCUCGCAAGAGAAAAGCGGAGGACCGCAAGGCUUCGCGCGAUUGGAGCGGCCGAUGUCGGAUUAGCUAGUUGGCGGGGUAAUGGCCCUCCAAGGCGACGAUCCGUAGCUGGUUUGAGAGAACGACCAGCCACACUGGGACUGAGACACGGCCCAGACUCCUACGGGAGGCAGCAGUGGGGAAUUUUGGACAAUGGGGGCAACCCUGAUCCAGCCAUGCCGCGUGUGUGAAGAAGGCCUUCGGUUGUAAG